Molecule: long non-coding RNA, 2590 nt
Organism: Cyprinus carpio (common carp)
Lineage: Eukaryota; Metazoa; Chordata; Actinopteri; Cypriniformes; Cyprinidae
Source: Ensembl
CUAGUCACUCCGCUCAGACAAACAAGUCCAUUUUGUGGUGCUGGUGGCAGAUAAAUCAUACACUUCAUCUUUAAUAUUUAAUUGACCAAUGUAUUUUUCGAAAUUUUCAUUCCCCAGAACUCACAGAUGCACCAUCAAUCCAGCUGGAGAUUCAAGACCAUAUACAAAAUCGUUUUAUAUCACCAGGACAGAGAAAAGUAGUCGUGAAGUGGGAGUAUGCAAACAGUGAGGCUGUGGCUUACUACAAUGUGACAGUGAGGAAAGUAUCCGGGGAAUUUAGCAAUCAGGACAGUUUCAGAACUGAAGAUUCAUCUCUCACCAUGAUCCUGUCUUACUCUGUAUACAACAUCAGUAUCAGAGCUUUAAACACUGCUGGAUCAUCUCCUGUUUCCAGUAUAGCCACUGAGCAAAUGGAUGAAUGGAGGGAUUCAUUUGGGCCAUUCAGUGUCAACAUAACCAGCCACAACCAUUUUAGUCUGUCCUGGAACAGGUCCGUCUCAAGUGUUUGUUACUCUGUGGAGUGGUGGGCCAAAGAACAGAUACCAACUUUUUGUACAUUCUACGAAAAGCAGACACGCAAAGAAAUAACUGGGAAAACUGAAACCUAUAGGAGCAUAGGACGUGACGUGUGGCCAACAGUUUUUCAGCCAUAUACAAGAUAUUAUUUCGUCCUGCACACCAGACCGUACCCAGACACCUGCAACAUGAAGAAUGUAAACAACAGUGAGACGACCUAUGGCACAGCCCAAGCUUACUUCACUGAAGGAACCUUCAAAGUGGAUCCCAGCGUAAACAGUUAUGAGCUGCAGAAUCUUGAAAGCAACAGUGCGUACCGCGUGCAGCUGUCUGCAUUUACAGCGGCUGGAGAAGGAGAGCGAAGUGAUUUCAAACACUUUGUCACAAACCUACUAGAAUUCACAGCUUUGAUCAGCAUUAUAGCCGCGGUUGUUGUGGGAAUAAUAAUUCUUUUACUAGCAGUUCACCUCAGCUGUCGACUUCUGCACAGACCAAAUCCUGAGAAUAGCAACGCUGUUCAGAAAACUGAAAUUGUCUAUGAUCUGGGUAUCCUGGAGCCACUGAACAGACAGAGGUUAGAGGAAAGUGAGGGAUGUGAUUACACUGCAGUCCAGUACAGUGUUUGUCGUUGGGAGCAAGAGGGAGGCAUCUCCUCUCUGUAGCCCUCCCACUGCUCAGGCUGGUGUGCCCACCACCCUUCUCCUCAGUGAAGAUGAGGACAGCCCAUCCAUCCCGGAGCAGAUCCCACCACCUGACAUCCCAACACAAGUCCUUCAAGGGGCGUUUCUAGGAUUUUCAUUUUAGGGGGGCUCAGCCCCCAACAAGGGUAUGAUUAAAAAAAUAUAUUAUUUGAGGUAGGGUAGGGUAGGGUUGUAUACUACUAACCUUAUUGUAAUCCACUAUUCCAUUGUAUUCCCUGUAUUUCAUAUAUGGGAGUAGGAGUACUGACUGAGCCAUAUACAACACUGUAAAACAUUUUUGAAAAAUGUAGAUGUGACCAGUCACUAGAAAAUUUUGAGUUGGGAAUGUAGAUUUUUUUUACAAUGAAGACUUCCUGAUUCAUUAUUAGGACAUUCAUGUUUAUCCUUUGACGAUACCACUGUUUUUUCUUAUGAAAUGUACGUGGAAAUUGGCAGACAAUUAAAACAACAUAAGGGUUCAAUGACUGCAAUUAAUCUUGUGAACACAGUGGUAUUGUGUGUGAGAGGCUGUCUACGUUCUAUUCUCAUUUUUUGAAAAAUUUAGAUGUGACCAGUCAUUAGAAAAUUUUGAGUUGGGAAUGUAGAUUUUUUUUACAAUGAAGACUUCCUGAUUCAUUAUUAGGACAUUCAUGUUUAUCCUUUGACGAUACCACUGUUUUUUCUUAUGAAAUGUACGUGGAAAUUGGCAGACAAUUAAAACAACAUAAGGGUUCAAUGACUGCAAUUAAUCUUGUGAACACAGUGGUAUUGUGUGUGAGAGGCUGUCUACGUUCUAUUCUCACCUGACUUGCUCAUUUGCAGACCUACUCCCGCACUACAAGAAAAAAUGUUGUAUAUCCAUCUACAAUGAAAUAUAUAUAUAUUAGCCUUUAUAAUCAACAAUACGGUUGGUUAUACAUCAAGUCACCCCCUGAAAAUUUAUUUCAUUUCAAAUCAUUUAACUAACCAGCUAAUAUUCAUUAAGAAUACAGACAAAACAUGUAUUAAUGCAAUUGUCUAUUGGCAAUAUGUUUAAUCUAUUCUAUAUUUAUUUCUAUUUAUUAAAAAUAACAACAUGAAUUAUCAUGGCACUUCUAUAAAUCAAUUACUUAAAAAAAAAUCACAAAUCCCUUUAAUCUACUCUUACUCUAAUAUAUGUAUCAUGAUACACUAUGAUUCAUUAUUACUUAAUACAAAAAUAUAUUUAAAAAUACAAAACAAAAUAACUCCACAUGAUGUUUCUCUCUCUGUGCCAUUUAGUGCUCUCAGACGUGUGUCUUUAAUCAUUUCUGUGCAUGGCUGCAUAAUGUAAUGCCGAAAUACACAAUAAUAUGUUUUGAAUUUUAAAAAGUAAAUUAAAAUAAAUCACUAUUGUUUUCUAAAGUAUGUUUUCA